This 253-nucleotide ribosomal RNA is filed under the name uncultured bacterium. Its description in RNAcentral is "partial 16S ribosomal RNA". It matches the Rfam family "Bacterial small subunit ribosomal RNA", at positions 524 to 776 of the family's 1533-position model. The record is from RNAcentral.
UACGAAGGGGGCUAGCGUUGCUCGGAAUCACUGGGCGUAAAGGGUUCGUAGGCGGGUCUUUAAGUCAGGGGUGAAAUCCUGGAGCUCAACUCCAGAACUGCCUUUGAUACUGAAGAUCUUGAGUUCGGGAGAGGUGAGUGGAACUGCGAGUGUAGAGGUGAAAUUCGUAGAUAUUCGCAAGAACACCAGUGGCGAAGGCGGCUCACUGGCCCGAUACUGACGCUGAGGCACGAAAGCGUGGGGAGCAAACAGG